RNAcentral lists this ribosomal RNA (583 nucleotides) under Salmonella enterica subsp. enterica serovar Kentucky. RNAcentral's name for it is "bacterial LSU rRNA". It matches the Rfam family "Bacterial large subunit ribosomal RNA", at positions 1191 to 1761 of the family's 2925-position model. The record is from RNAcentral. Lineage: Bacteria; Pseudomonadati; Pseudomonadota; Gammaproteobacteria; Enterobacterales; Enterobacteriaceae.
ACGUCAAAGCGUAUACAAAGUCGAGUCGGUUUAAGGAUACGUUCGUUGGGUAGGGGAGCGUUCUGUAAGCCUGCGAAGGUGGCCUGUGAGGGUUGCUGGAGGUAUCAGAAGUGCGAAUGCUGACAUAAGUAACGAUAAAGCGGGUGAAAAGCCCGCUCGCCGGAAGACCAAGGGUUCCUGUCCAACGUUAAUCGGGGCAGGGUGAGUCGACCCCUAAGGCGAGGCCGAAAGGCGUAGUCGAUGGGAAACGGGUUAAUAUUCCCGUACUUGGUGUUACUGCGAAGGGGGGACGGAGAAGGCUAUGUUGGCCGGGCGACGGUUGUCCCGGUUUAAGCGUGUAGGUGUGUGUUCCAGGUAAAUCCGGUUCACUUUAACACUGAGGCGUGAUGACGAGGCACUACGGUGCUGAAGCAACAAAUGCCCUGCUUCCAGGAAAAGCCUCUAAGCAUCAGGUAACAUCAAAUCGUACCCCAAACCGACACAGGUGGUCAGGUAGAGAAUACCAAGGCGCUUGAGAGAACUCGGGUGAAGGAACUAGGCAAAAUGGUGCCGUAACUUCGGGAGAAGGCACGCUGACACGUAG